UUUUUCAUAACGAAUCCAAAGAGAAUAUACUCCUAAUUAUACCAAAACUCGGUUCGCAAGGCAUAUCUUUAUAAAUAUCUUUAAACGAAAAUCUUUAAUAUCCAUGUAUCCUCUUUAAACCUAUUUAUUUUGCUAUAUAUACUAUCUAAGCGACACAUUCAAUCUAAACUAAAGCACACAACUUAAGCAAACAAAAUAAAUGCUACACCAAAGUUAUCAUAUACAUGUCCGAUAUCAAGCUUUACAAAACUGAAUGGUGGAUCGCAGUGAAAGUUGUUCACACCAGAUAACAAUUCAGUGAACAAUUUGGUGAGACAUUGGAACUCAUUUUCUCUGACAAGAAGGAUCAAAAAAUCAUGCAUCAUGCAAAAAACUACUUGCUUAGUUUGGGCAGGGACUUCCAUGUGGGUGAUUGGAAAAACAGAGAAUUAUUUCCACUAAGUGCAGCAGCUGGUGGAUACUAACCUACCACUCACGUUAUAAAAUGGGGUUUAUGAAGUUCACCUCCAUUACUCCAUAUAAAUUCAGUAAUAUGAUGUUGUGGAACAAGCCAUAGAUAUUGUAGAAAAAAGCCAUUAAACGUAAGUAACCACCUUCUUUUAAAAAAAAACGA
Molecule: long non-coding RNA, 613 nt
Organism: Raphanus sativus (radish)
Lineage: Eukaryota; Viridiplantae; Streptophyta; Magnoliopsida; Brassicales; Brassicaceae
Exons: 3
Source: RefSeq, a predicted model, not a curated record